Molecule: long non-coding RNA, 245 nt
Filed under: Lathyrus oleraceus (garden pea)
Lineage: Eukaryota; Viridiplantae; Streptophyta; Magnoliopsida; Fabales; Fabaceae
Description: Pisum sativum (pea) long non-coding RNA (PSAT_LNC013407)
Source: RNAcentral
UCAGAUCUUGAUACCCACAAAAUACAUAAACUAGUAUAUACAUGCAUUCAUUCUUCUUAUUUGCAUAUCAUGUACAAAAGAAAUGAUGCAUAAACUGCAGUUGGAUUCAAUAACCUCUCAAGGAAGUGCAGUGCAAUCCUCAACAUAAUGAAGAUUCAAGAGGUGUUUUCAUGAGUAGAAUAGUUAGUUUCUUCAGUGAGUACUUUUAGAAGUCGGUCAUUGUCAAUUUUAAUUCUCAAGACGAG